This 493-nucleotide long non-coding RNA is filed under the name Vulpes vulpes (red fox). Its description in RNAcentral is "lncRNA (ENSVVUG00000004601.1)". The record is from RNAcentral. Lineage: Eukaryota; Metazoa; Chordata; Mammalia; Carnivora; Canidae.
AAAAAAUAAAGGCUUGCUUGAGUGGACAGAACUGUGCGCAGAGCAUAGGAAAACAUACACUUCUGGAGAAAUCAAUGAAACAGAUAUAUAUCAUCGAAAGACCUUGAUACAUGGCUUUGCAAGGCACAUCUGUGAAUUUUUGCAGACAUUUCAGCCAUAUUGUCUAGAAUUCCCAGGGGACUGAAAAAAAUGAAAUAAAUCUUAUCAGCAUUUUUUACAACUCUUAAAGCAAAAACCAGAACACUUUUGAAGAGCGUACAAAGUGUUAUAGUGGCCAAGGGACCAGAAGAGAUAGAGGCACCACAAGAACUUCAUAUAUCCCAGAGUCUGAGCCACUUAAAUAACAACAUGCCCUAUAUUAGGACAAACUGGAUGGGGAAAGGCCUGGAAAGUUAAAGUGUCCCCACCCUUCCCCAAGAUCUCCUUCAAACAAAAGAAGUGCAAUGGAACCUUGGAGCAUCCAAUGUUCUUUGCACAGAAGCACAGAAUUCCG